CAGGGGUCGUUUUUAGGGUCAUUUCUCUGUUGAGAACUGCCCUGACAUCACCUCAGCCAGUACUAAGGAACUCUGUUGCUUGGAGACCUGCAUCUUUCUAGCUGUGCUCAGAACAGACAUGAAGCAACAGAUCAACUUGCUUUCAACAGUUCAAAAUCAAAGUAAGGCUGUCCCAAGCGGGCAUGAAAAUUGUGUCAUUCAAACAACAUGUGAACUCCAAUUACGACUCUACAAGUGAUAUCCUUUACUCCUGUAAUCUGCAGUCUUCAUCAUAUCUGUUCAUUGAUUUGAAUGCAUCCAUCAAAUAUUACUGGUGAGAUGAUAAAUCAUAAAGAAAGAUAUACAGAG
RNAcentral lists this long non-coding RNA (348 nucleotides) under Parus major (Great Tit). RNAcentral describes it as "lncRNA (ENSPMJG00000000478.1)". The record is from RNAcentral. Lineage: Eukaryota; Metazoa; Chordata; Aves; Passeriformes; Paridae.